CCUCUCAACUGCGCCAAAGGAAGUAUUCUGUGGACAGAGCCACUAUUACAGUCAUUCAUGGCCGGUAGCAUGCAAUUUUGAGACAGUUAUUUAUUUAUUUAUGUAUUUUGUAAUAAACGUUCAACUGGAUGACUUCAGCGGAGGCUUCAAAAACAGACAAUUGUUUUAUGCCAUGGCCCUCAUAGAUAAGCAUCAUAUUUUGAAUAGGCAACCAAUAUCCAUAGCUUCAUCCAAAUUGAUAUAUUAUGAAAGAAGACUAGCUUUAUGCCUUGAUUAAAUCCUCAUGGGCAAGGUUAUGCUGUUUUCUAUUUUCUAUUUUCUAUUUUUCUUCUUUGACAAUCCUACGACCCCACCAACACCU
Molecule: long non-coding RNA, 361 nt
Filed under: Vitis vinifera (wine grape)
Lineage: Eukaryota; Viridiplantae; Streptophyta; Magnoliopsida; Vitales; Vitaceae
Description: long non-coding RNA (VVIN_LNC007597)
Source: RNAcentral